Molecule: ribosomal RNA, 254 nt
Filed under: uncultured bacterium
Lineage: Bacteria
Description: partial 16S ribosomal RNA
Rfam family: Bacterial small subunit ribosomal RNA
Source: RNAcentral
GACGUAGGGCGCGAGCGUUGUCCGGAUUUAUUGGGCGUAAAGAGCUCGUAGGCGGCUUGUCGCGUCGAAUGUGAAAACUCGGGGCUCAACUCCGAGCUUGCAUUCGAUACGGGCAGGCUAGAGUUCGGUAGGGGAGACUGGAAUUCCUGGUGUAGCGGUGAAAUGCGCAGAUAUCAGGAGGAACACCGGUGGCGAAGGCGGGUCUCUGGGCAGUAACUGACGCUGAGGAGCGAAAGCGUGGGGAGCGAACAGGA